RNAcentral lists this ribosomal RNA (471 nucleotides) under uncultured bacterium. Its description in RNAcentral is "bacterial SSU rRNA". It matches the Rfam family "Bacterial small subunit ribosomal RNA", at positions 355 to 825 of the family's 1533-position model. The record is from RNAcentral.
UGGGGAAUAUUGGGCAAUGGGCGCAAGCCUGACCCAGCAAUACCGCGUGUGUGAAGAAGGCCUGAGGGUUGUAAAGCACUUUCAAUGGGGAGGAAAAAGGCAAGUUUAAUACGCUUGCCCUUGACAUUACCCAUACAAGAAGCACCGGCUAACUCCGUGCCAGCAGCCGCGGUAAUACGGAGGGUGCGAGCGUUAAUCGGAAUUACUGGGCGUAAAGCGUGCGUAGGCGGCCUGCCAAGUCAGAUGUGAAAGCCCUGGGCUCAACCUGGGAACGGCAUUUGAAACUGGCAGGCUCGAGUUGGGUAGAGGCAGGCGGAAUUCCGGGUGUAGCGGUGAAAUGCGUAGAUAUCCGGAGGAACACCAGUGGCGAAGGCGGCCUGCUGGGCCCAAACUGACGCUGAGGCACGAAAGCGUGGGUAGCAAACAGGAUUAGAUACCCCCGUAGUCCCUGAGCGGGCUGGCAAGGCGCAU